This is a non-coding RNA of Epinephelus lanceolatus (giant grouper), 1958 nucleotides long. Lineage: Eukaryota; Metazoa; Chordata; Actinopteri; Perciformes; Serranidae. The record is from RefSeq and is a predicted model, not a curated record.
GUUUUUUUUAGUGAGUCAUCACUGCAUUUCCAGUGGUGAUUGUGCUACCAAAAUCAUUUGUUUUUAAGGGAGACAUCACUGCUCUUCCAAAGGCAAGUGUGCUAUCCAAAGCAUGUUUUCACCAAGUUAUCACUGCAUUUCCAGCAAUGAUUGCAUGACUAAAGGUAAGUGUUUUUUUCGUGAGCCACUGCUGUUUUUCCAGCAGCGAUUGUGCCACCAAAAGCCAAUCUAUUUUCGUGAGUCAUCACGACAUUGCAAGCAGUUAUUAUGCCACCAAAGGCGGGUGUUUUGUAAUAAGCCAUCAUUGCUUUCCAACAGUGACUUGGUGGUGGUUAGCAAGUUAUUGCUGCAUUUCCAACAGCAAUUGUGUCGCCAAAAGUAUUUAUUUUUAAGUGAGACAUCACUGUUCUUUCAAGGGCAAUUGUCCCACCCAAAGUGGGUGUUUUUUAGUUAGCCAUCAUUGUUAGCCACCAAAAGCCAUUUUUUUUAAUUGAGUCACCACUGCAUUUCCAGUGGUGAUUGUGCAAACCAAAACCCCAUGUUUUUCAUGAGCUAUCGCUGCUUUAACAGCCACAAUUGUGCUACCAAAGGCAGGUGUUUUUUGUGAGCCAUUGCUGCUUUUCCAACAGCGACUGUGCCACCAAAAGCCAGUCUUUGUUAGUGAGUCAUCACCACAUUGCAAGCAGUUAUUAAGCCAUUAUUGCUUUUCCAUCAGUGAUUUUGCCAACAAAAGCGGGUGGUUAUUAGCAAGUUAUUGCUGCAUUUCCAACAGUGAUUGUGCUGCCAAAAGUAUUUAUUUUUAAGUGAGACAUCACUGUUCUUUCAAAGGUUACUGUCCUAUCCACGGUGGGUGUUUUUUAAUGAGCCAUUGCUGCUUUUCCAAUGGUGAGUGUGCUACCAAAAUCAGGUGCUUUUUAAUGAAACAUCACUAACGGCUAUUUUGUCACAAAAAGUGGAUGUUUUUUUAGUGAGCCAUGGCUGUAUUUCUGGUGAUGUUUGUGCUAAACAAGUUGGGUGUUUUUUUUGCAAGUCAUUGCUGUAUUUCCAAUGGCAAAUGUGCCACCAAUAGUGAGUGUUUUUUAGUGAGACAUCACUGCAUUUCCAACGGCGAUUGUGCCACCAAAAGUGGAUGUUUCUUAGCAAGUCAUUGUUGCAUUGACAGUGGCAAAUGUGCCACCAAUAGCGGGUGCUUACUAGUGAGACUUAAGUGCAUUUUAUGCAACAAUUGUGCCAUGUAAGGCGGGUGUGUUUCAGCUGGCCAUUGCUGCAUUUCCAGCAGUGAUUGUGUCACGAAAACCGGUGGUUUUAAGCCAACUAUAAAUGGGUUUUCUGCCCUACACAUAACCUCAAGUUGCCAACAGCAUUCUUGGUAUGUAAAGAAAAGAAAAGUUUCAACAUAUCACUGACAUAAUAACAUACAAAUGUUGCAUAUCUGUGGUUUGCAGAAAUAACGCACAAUGCCAGCGUUUAUUCUGGUGAAUGGGUUGAAGAAAUGAAAAAUGCUAUUUCCUAUGUCUGAGUCAAUCUAGUAGAUAACAAGUAAUUAUAAAAUGUGUUAUUAUUCUUUCCAGAAUUAGGGUAGUAUAACCAAAAGAAGAAAUGCUAUGUAAACCUCUGUAUUAAUGUCUCUUAACCUCGCAAAUAAGUCGGAAAUGUAGCUUUAAAAGGUGGAGAUAAAUCAACAUAUCUUAUUAUAUUCAUUAAAACAGCUAAAACAAUGUUUUAUUCCCUCCCUUUGCAGGUCCUGGAGUUCCAGCUGUGCUGCUUCUGAGUUUUGAUGACGUGGACUCGUACUUCAUCUUAGAGAACAACCUCCCUCUGCGGUCGGCGCUGGAGACUAAAAAGAGGAUUCAGAGUGAAAUCCGGAUGAUCGCUAAUGACAACUUUGAGCUGCCUCUGAAGCUCAUCUAUCCUCCUGACUUCUCCGAGUCCUACCUCUACGGCCUUCUCCUUAUUGU